Molecule: ribosomal RNA, 245 nt
Filed under: uncultured bacterium
Lineage: Bacteria
Description: partial 16S ribosomal RNA
Rfam family: Bacterial small subunit ribosomal RNA
Source: RNAcentral
GCAAGUCGAACGGUGACCCAUCUUCGGAUGGCGAUCAGUGGCGAACGGGUGAGUAACACGUGGGCAACCUGCCCCUAGCUCUGGGAUAACUCCUCGAAAGAGGUGCUAAUACCGGAUAUCAUCUUCCUCGGCAUCGGGGAAGGUCGAAAGUUUUUCGGCUAGGGAUGGGCCCGCGGCCUAUCAGCUUGUUGGUGGGGUAAUGGCCUACCAAGGCGACGAUGGAUAGCCGGCCUGAGAGGGUGAAC